This 429-nucleotide ribosomal RNA is filed under the name Acidobacteriota bacterium. Its description in RNAcentral is "Acidobacteria bacterium partial 16S ribosomal RNA". It matches the Rfam family "Bacterial small subunit ribosomal RNA", at positions 355 to 776 of the family's 1533-position model. Lineage: Bacteria; Pseudomonadati; Acidobacteriota. The record is from RNAcentral.
UGGGGAAUUUUGGACAAUGGGGGAAACCCUGAUCCAGCCAUCCCGCGUGUGCGAUGAAGGCCUUCGGGUUGUAAAGCACUUUUGGCAGGAAAGAAACGUCAUGGGUUAAUACCCCGUGAAACUGACGGUACCUGCAGAAUAAGCACCGGCUAACUACGUGCCAGCAGCCGCGGUAAUACGUAGGGUGCAAGCGUUAAUCGGAAUUACUGGGCGUAAAGCGUGCGCAGGCGGUUCGGAAAGAAAGAUGUGAAAUCCCAGAGCUCAACUUUGGAACUGCAUUAUUAACUACCGGGCUAGAGUGUGUCAGAGGGAGGUGGAAUUCCGCGUGUAGCAGUGAAAUGCGUAGAUAUGCGGAGGAACACCGAUGGCGAAGGCAGCCUCCUAGGAUAACACUGACGAUCAUGCACGAAAGCGUGGGGAGCAAACAGG